UAAGGAAUAUUGGUCAAUGGACGCAAGUCUGAACCAGCCAUGCCGCGUGAAGGAUGAAGGUCCUCUGGAUUGUAAACUUCUUUUAUCUGGGACGAAAACGGGAUUUUUAUCUCAAUUGACGGUACCAGAGGAAUAAGCACCGGCUAACUCCGUGCCAGCAGCCGCGGUAAUACGGAGUGUGCGAGCGUUAUCCGGAUUUACUGGGUUUAAAGGGUGCGUAGGUGGGCUUAUAAGUCAGUGGUGAAAUCUCCGAGCUUAACUUGGAAACUGCCGUUGAUACUAUAGGUCUUGAAUUAUCUGGAGGUAAGCGGAAUAUGUCAUGUAGCGGUGAAAUGCUUAGAUAUGACAUAGAACACCAAUUGCGAAGGCAGCUUACUACAUAUAAAUUGACGCUGAGGCACGAAAGCGUGGGGAUCAAACA
Molecule: ribosomal RNA, 421 nt
Filed under: uncultured bacterium
Lineage: Bacteria
Description: bacterial SSU rRNA
Rfam family: Bacterial small subunit ribosomal RNA
Source: RNAcentral